GACGAACGCUGGCGGCGUGCUUAACACAUGCAAGUCGAACGGAAAGGCCCUGCUUUUGUGGGGUGCUCGAGUGGCGAACGGGUGAGUAACACGUGAGUAACCUGCCCUUGACUUUGGGAUAACUUCAGGAAACUGGGGCUAAUACCGGAUAGGAGCUCCUGCUGCAUGGUGGGGGUUGGAAAGUUUCGGCGGUUGGGGAUGGACUCGCGGCUUAUCAGCUUGUUGGUGGGGUAGUGGCUUACCAAGGCUUUGACGGGUAGCCGGCCUGAGAGGGUGACCGGCCACAAUGGGACUGAGAUACGGCCCAGAAUCCUACGGGAGGCAGCAGUGGGGAAUAUUGCACAAUGGGCGGAAGCCUGAUGCAGCAACGCCGCGUGCGGGAUGACGGCCUUCGGGUUGUAAACCGCUUUAGCAUGUGACGAAGCGUGAGUGACGGUAAUGGGUAAAGAAGCACCGGCUAACUACGUG
This 468-nucleotide ribosomal RNA is filed under the name uncultured bacterium. RNAcentral's name for it is "partial 16S ribosomal RNA". It matches the Rfam family "Bacterial small subunit ribosomal RNA", at positions 28 to 507 of the family's 1533-position model. The record is from RNAcentral.